GCACCCAGCAACUAGGAGGUGGGGGUGUCUCUCGGGAGGGUUCCUUCGAGAACUCAGUCCCCAGAGGAUCUGUGGAAACUUCCUUUUAAGAAGAGUGUUGCCCUCCAGGGGACCCAGAGGCCACCGCCAACGCCCUCAGUUUGGCUUCUCUUCCACAAGGAUGAUGACCCAGGCUCCUUAAGACCGGCCACAAGCCAGCCUUCCAAUGAGCAGGCAUCCCCUCCUCAUUCUCCACCAACAGCAGAUGAAAUGAGAGGAAAAUGAGUAAAAAGGCAGAUCUGGGCGGGGGAGACAGCGAUCCACUUCAGUAAUCAGUGAAAUCACAGCAUGGCAUUGAAGGAAGAUGUGCGUGGGUGGAAGGGUGGGCAGAGAACAGUCUUCUGUUUGACCGUGACAGGUGUGCAAUGUCCCCUCAUGCUUCUCUCUCCUGGCAGGAAGCAAAUGGCACUGGGUUCCACAAGGGUGGCGGGGGGAGCUUUCCCUGACCUCUGGAUCUGAAGGAACCACCCCUGCACCCAUGGAAGCUUCUGCAUCAUUUACCACAGUCUGCAAUCAUCCUGUGGGUUGGUCACUUCUGUGCCAAACUGGGGACUCCUCAGUGUGUUUGACCCACUGAAAUGAAAGCCUGAUGAGGGGACCUUUUAUUUUCUCUCUCUCAGUCACACCCAUAGCAACUAGCGCUAAGCCUGGCAGGUAUUCCCACUCAAAUACUUGCUGGAUGGAUCAGCAGACUGACAUUUAUUGAAUAAAUGGGUGGGAACUGUCAAUAAUGAAUAGGACUUUAUCCAGGUGAUGGGCCAUCAUCAUAGACAUGUCAGGAGAGGCUGAACUUGGCCGGGUUCACCCUGGAGUCACAGGGCUGUGGUCCACUAGGCUCUCCCCUGAUUCUGGGGAGCCACCUAGGCGUCCCUAAAAAAAUGAUUUUAAAAAUAUUCAGAAACAUAUUAAUAUGUCAUUUAUUUUCACUGAAAUAGAAGAGGCCAUUCACUUAAUAAAAUAUGAGAUAAAGCAGAUAAGCAUGUCUCAGUCUGUCAUCUUAUUAUGAUGUCAUCUUAUUAUGAUGACAGACUGGGACAUUUUUUAAGGCCUUGAUAGGUUAAGGAAAGGAGAUAAAGAGCAAAUGUCACCGCUGGAAAUGUCAAGGAGCAAACACAUUCCACAAGAAACAGCCAAAGGAAUAUGAAAGGUGAGCCAGAAAUGCUGUCCAGGUGCUGAAGCAAAAAGAAGCCACAUAUGGAGGUGGCCAGAAAACACGUAUUUGGAACCUGAGUUCAAAGACUAAAAAUCCACAUGUCCGUAAAGGGAGUUCUUGAAGGAGAGAAAAGGAGAUUCAUUUGUUGUUGUUUAUUACAUGAGUUGAAUUACAAGGAUAAAAUAGGAGAAAGUAAAAGAAUUUCUCUGAAUUUA
Molecule: long non-coding RNA, 1407 nt
Organism: Canis lupus familiaris (dog)
Lineage: Eukaryota; Metazoa; Chordata; Mammalia; Carnivora; Canidae
Exons: 2
Source: RefSeq, a predicted model, not a curated record